GCNUGUCUGGAGCAACAGCUGGGAUGCUGUGCGGAAGGAAAGCUGGCUAAUGAUGCAAAUGAGCGGAAGCUCGCUUCAGCCUUGACGGCAAGAGGCAGAUCAAGGAAUAGUACAGCGACACCGGGACCAUCCAGAUGGCCACUUCUGGCUCUCUUCUGGACAUCUGGGGGACUGGAUGGGCAAAGGCGUGUGCCUCUGUUGGGNCCCCAACCCGGCCCAAUCCCCGACCAAGCACAGGAAGAGAGCGGAAGGGGCCUUUCUUAGGAGCGGAAACUUCAAGAGUUGAAAUCUGGANGCAAAGAUGGAGCCCUCUGUGCCUGAACUUUGCGAGGAGGAAAGCGAAGAUAGGAGCCACGUGCGUUCNGGUAAAAAGGGUAAAGUGGGGGGAUCUCGUUGUGCUUAUAUGCCAUUUUGGCAACACCCGUAGCCCAUACUCGUUGAUGAACUUCCAAGGCACUGGUCUUCCAUUUGGCCAGAAAUGCAACGGUAGCCACCAGCCUCUCUUUGCUGAAUUUCAUUCCUAAAGAGGUUGGAACCCUCUGAUUAAAAAAAUCCAGAUCUUGUAACUACACGUUCAGGUAGUCCUCGUUCACACAAACUGACAAGGGGAUCUACGCUGCUUUGGGCAGCACUUGGCAGUNGUGGGUAUGAACGUGAUCGUACGCCGCUCUUGGCCUAAAUGUUACUGCAGGGAGGAGACAAAUCUGUUAGGGAGGAUUAGCACAUCAGCCAGAAGAGCAGGCUAGAAUUGUCCUUUCCUGUUACCUGGUUUGUGGCACACUGAUUGAAACAGGGGGCUAGUGGGCACACAUAAAACCAGGCAAUUCCUCGCUUUAGAACUGCUCUAGCCUUCACUGCACCCUCAGCAGACCAAGGUGAAAUAUUUUCCACUCUUCAGCUGGGCUGCUCACACAGUGGCCUGCCAGAUAUGCCCAAGCUACAGUUCCCAUGGUUGGCAUGCAGUGAACCCCUCUGGGGCAUGACUGUGAUCCCUCUGCACCAUGGCGAAAUUUUUUUGAUCUGGAGCGAAAGUCAAGCGCUUCUAGGUUGGACCCAAAACGGUUUUGCCUUGCCACAGAAAGAUCACACGCAAAUGGCAGAACGCUGCUCAGUUCUGUUGNUGCUCUCUGCCUGCCCAACUGAAGGAGUUAUAAGAAUAUAAGAACAUAAGAGGAGCCCUGCUGGAUCAAGCCAUAGCCAAUCUAGUCCAGCAUCCCGUCUCACACAGUGGCCCACCAGUUGAUUCUGGGCAUCUCAAGCAGAAGACAAAGGCGAAACCUUCACCUGCUCUUGAGUUUCUGCAAAUGAGCUUUAGAGACAUCCUGCCUGUCUCUCCACCCUGGAGGCAGUAUCUAGGCAUCCAUUCUAAUAACCAUUGAUAUACCUGACCUCCAUGAAUCUGUCCAAUCUGUUCUUAAAGCAAUCCAGGCUGACUGCUGUCACACCUCUUCCGGUUAGUAAAAACCAUAGGCCAAUGACCCUCUGGGUGAAAAAAUACUUCCCCUUGUGCAGGAGAAAACUUUUUUUUCUUUAUCCACCUUUUCCACUCCAUGCAGGAUUUCAUACACUUCAAUCAGGNCNCCUCUUAAACGCCGUCUUUCAAGGCUAAAGAGGCCAAGGUGUUGCAGCCUGAUUUCNUAUGGGAGGUGUUCCAGCCCCUUGAUCAUUCUAAUUGGUAUUUUUAAAGGUAAAGUGUAGAAAAGGACAACUACUUCUGAGUUGGGUCACAUCUUGGAGGUGGCAAUUAGAGCAAUCCCUGAUCUGCAAAUUUACCUCUCCUCAACAAAUGGCUUAGCUUCUUGCAACAUUGUGCUGCCUUUGCUUUCUAGACUUCUAAAACCUCUUCAACACUCACUUUCUCCCUUUUUUUUUUUUUGCAAAAGAGAAGGAUUUUCUGUACCCUGUACUGCCAAGGAACACUGCAUUAAGAGGAAAGCUGAAGACAUUUGAAAUACAAUUUGGAAUUCUUCACAGCACUUAAAAAAGAGAGAGAGAGAGUAGGAAAAAUCAUUAAAAACAUAGCAUUGCACAAAUGAUGUCUAGAAGCUCCAAAUAGAAAACAGACACUGGGAGCAUUAGAAUUCUUCCAGAAAUAUAAUGUAAUGUUUUGUGAGGGGAAACAGGGACUUUUGCUACAAAACUGAAACAGUGCAGAGAAAUGAACAGACAUACAGCCCGGCCAACCUGGUCCAUCCCAGAUGUUCUGAACUACAAGGAAGUCCUACAUGGGCAUUAUGGGUCAAAACAUCUGAAAGGCACCAGCUGGAUGGUAUGUCAGAANUUAUAUCAAAAACCUGACUUUAAACCCAACAUUCGUGACAUCCUGUACAUGNUGGCGGCUGGCGGCUUUAAGCCCAGGUGUUCGGGCCCCNUGNGAAGCGCGCCAUGGCUGUUCGCGGGGCCUCCGUACUGCCUCAGCAGGUCGUGCGGGGCCUGAACACCUGGGAUUAAAGCCGCUGCCCGUACAUUAAAAUUAAAGCUGAGAGCAAUCGAAUGUGACGGGAGUAAAGGGUCAGGAUUAAAUAAUGAAGCAGUCAAACAGUAAAUGUAAACAAGAACAGAAGACUGAGCAAGCAACAUGAGUGAAAGGGGAAAAAUAAACCAAAACAGAACAGAAACA
This 2620-nucleotide long non-coding RNA is filed under the name Salvator merianae (Argentine black and white tegu). Its description in RNAcentral is "lncRNA (ENSSMRG00000017851.1)". Lineage: Eukaryota; Metazoa; Chordata; Lepidosauria; Squamata; Teiidae. The record is from RNAcentral.